Molecule: long non-coding RNA, 2055 nt
Filed under: Pan troglodytes (chimpanzee)
Lineage: Eukaryota; Metazoa; Chordata; Mammalia; Primates; Hominidae
Description: long non-coding RNA NONPTRT009931
Source: RNAcentral
GGGUUCUCAAAUCCAGAUUUCAUUCUGCAGUCCCGGCAGUGUUUUGACGACUGCCUCACUAAAGGAAGCUAAAAGCUGUGCUGAUGCCUCCCAGACGAGCCUCGUUGGAAGCACAGAACCUUCACGGCUCGGAGCCGCUGACACCGUGACAAAGGGAGCCCUGCUCAGGAGAAAGAGCAAAUGAGAGGAAGUUGCACUUUUUCAGGUGUCAGGCUGGAGGAAGCCACUUGAAGAUGAGUCUACCUCUGCCUUAGGAUUGCCUGAUGGCCUGUGCCAUUCCAUGUUAUGUCUACUGAUUUGCUCCCUGUAUUCAACGAUUUUUUUUUUUUUUUUUUUUACUUAAUUCUCUCUUACUGACCCUGAGAGUGACCAUAUUUUUAACCAAUUUGGUCUUCAGCCUCAAAACUUAGCUCUUUCCUUUUGUGGUCCCUGAAUCCUACCACGUGUCAUGGUGGCUGUGAAGAUGUUUGCCAAGCCUGCUGAGAAGGCUCAUCUGUGGCAUCCAAAAGCAGAAAUUUCAACUCUGGACCCCUGUGACCUGCCUUUGGAAUUAUGGAUACCCAGCACUGUUUUGAAAUAUCAGUGGACAUCCAGUUUUUAAAAGCCCUCAGAGCUUUGGGAGACACCCCUUUAUCUCUCUGGCAUGUCAGAGAACCGAUUCAACCCUUCUCAUCUCCUCCUCCUUCCCUCUCUUGGGCCAUCAGGAUGCAGCAGCAACUCACUGUGCAUGUUUUUACAGCUCUUCUCCAGUAAUGCUGCCAUUUCCACUGCAGACCACAGGAUAAACGGACUGCUUCACAGUGGCCCAGGAUACCCUUUUAAGUAGGAGGUAACUAUUCAGUUUCUUAGUGGCCUAUACAUAAACUUGAUUAUGUUCUUCGUUGCUCCAAUAAACUAUUUGUGUGUUUUGUUUUUUCCAGAGGGAGAAGAAAGUACUGUUUUGAUCUAAAAUUAAGCAAACGUUCUUCAAUAAACCCACCAUGAGACUUGACCACUAAUGGUGACCAGCAGUGGCUUUGUCAUGGCCCUGCCCACUGGGGGCAGGCACAUGCCAGGGCCAGGGUAGGCUGCCAGCUGGUGAGCACGAAUAGGUGGCUGGUGGAGCGCACGCAGUGGGAAGGGCAGAUGGCUCCAUUUUGAUUUGUUAGCAAGCUGCUUCCUCGGAAGGGGCUUUCCCUUCAGUGGAGUCUGCACCCCCAGCCUCAGCUGUCUUGGAGCAGAUGUGUAUAGUUAGAGAUGGGGACCUUUUCACUGUAAAUACUGCUCACAUGUUCCUAGGCUGACUUUACUAUGUGCAGAGCCUCUUCCCAAAUAUCCAAAUCCCCUCUGUUGGGUACUACAGAACAGAUGUUACCCUGCCUCCUAUUACAUUAAUUUACGAACUUUACAUAUGCUGAGUUACGGACCCUAAGCUGUUGCAUGUGCUUGGCUCUUAUGUUCCAAAAAGUACAUUUGUAUGGUUUUGUGGAAACUGUGCUGUUCUGCUUUUGCAGUCUGUGAGAUUCUGAUGUUUUUUUUUUCUCAUCAGCAAUUUUCCUUGUCUUGGAACAUCAGAGCUUGAAGAAAGGGAUUCUAGCAGCCCACCUCUCUCCUUCCUAAUCCAGAUGGUUAGAGGCUUAGAGAGAGGUGGCGGUUGCUCUGAGUUUACCAAAUUCAGUGACAAACCCCUUCUAAUUUCUAAUCCAUCUGGCAGCCUUCAUUUACCAAAAGUUGACUUUUGAUAGUAUAACUUUUAUACACUGUGAGACAACUUAUUUUAAAAAACAGUUUAGAAAUGUUUAAUUUUUUUUUGAAAGAAUUUUUAAGGUCAGGCACCAUGGGUCAUGCCUAUCAUCUCAACACUUUGAGGACCGAAGUGGGAGGAUCAUUUGAGGCCAAGAUUUCGAGAUCAGCUUGGGCAACAUAGUGAGACUCUGUCUCUAAAAAAUUUAAAAAAAAUAGCCAGGUGUGGUGGCGCAUGCCUGUAGUCCCAGCUACUUCGGAGGCUGAAGUGGGAGGAUCCAUUGAGCCUAGGAGAUGGCAAUUGAGUAAGCCAUGAUUGCACCACUGCACUCC